UGGCCGGACAAGUCCGUUGGGAAAUCCACUCGCUCAACGAGUGGGCGUCCGGUGGAUACUGUUCGGCUUGGGGCCGGAAGACCUGAGGGGUACGUCCGGGGUAGGAGUGAAAUCCCGUAAUCCUGGACGGACCACCGGUGGCGAAAGCGCCUCAGGAAGACGGACCCGACGGUGAGGGACGAAAGCUAGGGUCACGAACCGGAUUAGAUACCCGGGUAGUCCUAGCUGUAAACGAUGCCCGCUAAGUAUGGCACACACUACGAGUAUGUGCUGUGCUGUAGUGAAGACGUGAAGCGGGCCGCCUGGGAA
This 309-nucleotide ribosomal RNA is filed under the name uncultured archaeon. RNAcentral describes it as "bacterial SSU rRNA". It matches the Rfam family "Archaeal small subunit ribosomal RNA", at positions 526 to 834 of the family's 1478-position model. The record is from RNAcentral.